Long non-coding RNA from Lontra canadensis (Northern American river otter), 580 nucleotides. RefSeq lists it as uncharacterized. NCBI's taxonomy places the organism in Eukaryota, Metazoa, Chordata, Mammalia, Carnivora, Mustelidae. The transcript has 3 exons. The record is from RefSeq and is a predicted model, not a curated record.
CACCCGAGCAGACAAGCACAAACCAAGCAGGGGAGAAGAGAAGCCCGAUGACCACCAGCACCCCGAGCCCCCACUUCAACAACGAUACUGUACUGUGUGGACACUUCUUCCUCCCACGACUGGUUUUACAUACCUAAGAUCACCACUUCACAGCAGUUAGGUUGUGAGGAUAUGGAGAGAAAGAAUAAAACCAGUGGCCCCACUUAAUUGCAGUUUACGGUUCCUCAUCCCAACAUGAAGGCUGGAGACAAAGCAAUGGACUGAAAUGGAGAGAGGGAUACCAAGGGCUUGAAAACAUGGGCCUUUUACGUAAGUUUUUGUCACGUUACAGUAACGCUUUUUUUUUCCUUUGAGAAAACUGUGUACGACAAAUUAAAAAAACUAAAGAUCAAAAGGAUGUGCAAGUCUUAAAGGGUUCAACUGGGUUUAGAAUCCUGAUUUGAACAUAUAAAUUCACUCAAGCAUCACUUUGGUCUAAAGGCAGGAGGAAGGCAGGCAGGAAAGGGACAAAAAGAGGGAGAUAAUUGAAUUACUCAAUAAAAGAGGCUACUUACCAUCCCAACCCAUUGUAAGACAUACA